Molecule: unclassified non-coding RNA, 356 nt
Filed under: Hevea brasiliensis (rubber tree)
Lineage: Eukaryota; Viridiplantae; Streptophyta; Magnoliopsida; Malpighiales; Euphorbiaceae
Source: RNAcentral
UUGCCUUCCUUAUUAGCAGCUUUAGGUUUGUUUCUUGCUAGCUUGUUGUGUUGAUUGGCCGUGUGUUUGAGCCGAGCAUGCACUUCUUCCAGCCUCCCUCAGCUUUGGUGAAGAAUGGAUUACUACUGUGAUAUUUGUCCUUCAAUUUGUGUUUAUUGGAUUUGAUUUUUGGGGGUUGGUGUCUUCUAGUGAUGUUUCUUGCUAGCUUGUUGUGUUGAUUGGCCGUGUGUUUGAGCCGAGCAUGCACUUCUUCCAGCCUCCCUCAGCUUUGGUGAAGAAUGGAUUACUACUGUGAUAUUUGUCCUUCAAUUUGUGUUUAUUGGAUUUGAUUUUUGGGGGUUGGUGUCUUCUAGUGA